RNAcentral lists this long non-coding RNA (4567 nucleotides) under Scleropages formosus (Asian bonytongue). RNAcentral's name for it is "lncRNA (ENSSFOG00015026507.1)". Lineage: Eukaryota; Metazoa; Chordata; Actinopteri; Osteoglossiformes; Osteoglossidae. The record is from RNAcentral.
GGGCGCUAGCCAGUGAGUUACGAUGCGAAGGAGCACUUUUUCAAGCAAGGCUCUGCGGGGGGCGACGCCGCGAUUCGUCCGACUUCCCCCGGUGAGAAGGACACCUGUGCGGCGCGGGCUGCCGGGAGGGGCUGCUCGAGCAUUCCGCGGGGGAAUCCCGUUGCAUUGUGGGAGGAGCGGAAGUCCAGGAAGUGGCUCCGCCGCGCUCCGGAGGCGCCGUACGUGCCGCGAGGGGAGCCGCUCGGAGCGCUGUCGCGUGCGCUCCUGGUCGCGCGCCCGUACGGACUGCGAGUGCGUGCCGCGGAGCCGCGCAGACAGAAGCGGCGCUUCAUUAUGCGUUCGGGGCGCGGGCUGCCAUGGCGGGCGCGUUCGCGAUGGUGAGCGCCGCCGGACGCGGCGGCGCUCGGCUUCUCCUCAGCGCCACACUCGUGGUCGCAGCGUUCGGCGCGAGAGCGGUGCGAGCGCAGAAAGGAGACGCCUGCGGGAAUACAGUUCUGGGGCCCCAUAGCGGCACACUCUCCUCCAUACGCUACCCGCAGACGUACCCCAAUCACACGGUGUGUGAGUGGGAGGUGCGUGUGGCCCCUGGCCAGAAGCUCCAGUUCAAGUUUGGCGACGUUGACAUUGAGGAUUCAAACUGCCACUUCAGCUACCUGCGACUCUACAAUGGCAUUGGCCCCGGGAGGACGGAGAUAGUGAAGUACUGUGGACUGGGCCUGCAGGUUCCUGACGUGAUCCAGUCCAGCGGCAACGAAGUCACGGUGCAGUUCAUGAGCGGGACUCACCAGUCUGGACGAGGGUUCCUGCUGUCCUACUCAACAACAGGGCACCCAGAUUUGAUCACUUGCCUGGACAAAGGAAUCCACUUCAUGGACGCCGAAUUCAGUAAAUACUGUCCCGCUGGCUGCUUGAUGGUCUCGGGGGAGGUUUCCGGGACAAUCCCACACGGGUACAGAGAUUCGUCCUCUGUGUGCCUGGCGGGCAUCCACGCAGGGGUGGUGUCCAACGCGUUGGGCGGCCAGAUCAGCGUUGUCACCAGCAAAGGCAUCCCGCGAUAUGAGGGUACGCUGGCCAACAACGUCACCUCUACCUUCGGUCCUCUGUCCAACAGCCUCUUCACCUUCAAAACCAGCGGCUGCUACGGGACGCUGGGCAUGGAGUCGAGCGUGGUUCGUGGCUUCCAGAUCUCCUCCUCCUCCGUGUGGGAGUGGAGCGACGAAAAUGGCCAGACGCACGUGUGGGCGCCGUCGGGAGCUCGGCUGAAGCAUUCCGGCCUUCCCUGGGCCGCCGCCGACAACGACCAGCACCAGUGGCUCCAAGUGGACCUGAAGAAGAAGAAGAGGAUCACAGGAAUCAUCACCACGGGCUCCACCCUCCUUGAGUACCAGUUCUUCAUCUUGGCCUACCGGGUCCAGUACAGCCAGGACGGCAGGCAGUGGCAGGCCUUCAGGGAGGCCGACAGCGACCAGGACAAGAUUUUCCAAGGAAACACCAAUUACCUCCAUGAAGUGCGCAAUAACUUCAUCCCCCCGAUGGAGGCGCGGUACGUGCGCGUCAGGCCCACCCAAUGGCAUCAGCGCAUCGCCCUGAAGAUGGAGCUGCUGGGCUGUCAGCUGCCGACAGUGUUGCCCCGUACCUUCCACCCACAGCCCACCAGACUGAGCACAGUUCCUCCGCUGCGGUCUGACAGGACCACCUUCACACCUGGCAUCCGAAAUACCACCAUGACCCCUAGUGACAGCAACAGUGUGGCGCUGGUGGCAGUGUUGGUGCCUGUCUUGGUCACUGGCCUAUCUUCUCUCAUCCUGAGCCUGUUGUGUAUCUGGCACUGCAGGAACAGGAAGAAGAGCACCAAGGGGGCUUAUGACCUGCCUCACUGGGACCGUACCGGCUUAUGGAAAAGCAUGAAGCAGUUCUUGCCAGCGAAGGUGUCGGAGGGUGACGAGUCGUCUGUGCGCUACAGCAGCAGCGGAGUGAGCCACCUGAGGGGACGUAAGGGUGCCCCUGUGGUGCAGGCCGAACCUGCAGAGUACGCGCAGCCCUUGGUGGGAGGUGUGGUCGGCACACUCGGCCAAAGAUCCACCUUUAAGCCUGAAGAAGGAGGCGACCCGGGUUACGCGGACCCCGACACGUACGACGCUCCUCUCACAGACAUAUACCAUGCGUACGCUGAGCCCCUCCCUGCUUCCGGGGCAGAGUAUGCGACGCCCAUCGUGGUCGACAUUGCAGGUUGCUCGGCUGCUGCGGGAACCCUGGGACAGGCAUCUAUCUCCACCUUCAAAAGGCCUGGCCCUGGGGCCCUCCUCGCAAGGACAGGUAGCGGUCACUCCGGGACGAACGCGCAGUACGACACGCCCAAGACUGCACCCGGACAGGCCCCGCUUACAGAGGACCUGGUCUAUCAGGUCCCCCAGAAUGGUACCCAGAAAGCACAAGAAGAGAGUAGCUGAAGGGAGCUGCAGAAGGAUGGGCAACUCUUCCCAUGACUUCCUGCCUUACCUCUCACCCUCUGACGUUAAUGCGGGCAGGUAGAGGCCGGACGCUCCCACAAACGCGAGAAGACCUGGGAUUGUUCACUGAGAGCACGUAGCCUUAUUUCACAGCGUCACCGACGUGGUAAAUGUGUACACACCGGUAUGUGUGAUCAGUGUAGAGCCUUCGAGGGCAUCACACCAUUCCAGUCCCGUCACUGAAACCAAGCCGAUGAAUGUUCACUGCUGUUUCUGCAGGCACAGCGCCUUUCGCUUUGGUCUCAUCUUUCAUUUUCCUGUAACGUCAAACUGUGAGGUUUUUACAUUCCGACAGAUUUUACUCUUUCUUGUUUUUUAAUCGUUUUCUACAUCGGGAAGCAACACUGAUUAGAUUCAGUCCGUUAGUCGAGGGGUGGGCAGAAUCAGUUUCUGGCCAAUGGGUUUCCUGAUCCUUUCUCUGCUGACUCAGCUCUUUUAUUCCCAUUGAAAUGAGAAUAUUGAGUCCCAUUUCUUCAGCCCUUGUGGACUUUAAUUGUCCAUCCCUGUUUUUGACUGCUUCUUUAAACAAAUAGCGAUCGGCAGCUUUUGUUCUUAUGGCACAUAGAAACUCGCACUUGUAUGUUCUCCAUAGAACACCGGGGUCAUUGGCCGAUUCCCAGCCUUCAUCCUUUUACAUCGCCCUUUCCAGAGGUCAUAUUAGGUGAAGGGGGGGGACCUUGAAUCUCUCAGAUUUUACUAUGGUACUGUUUGAAAAGCUUCCUUUGCUGUUUGAGCAGCGUGCUUUUCAAAUUGGUGUUUGAAGGUAGGGUGGGGGGGGGGGUCACCGCUUGAGUUUCAAAAUGUACUGUAUGCAUGAAAUUUCCAAGGUGACAGUGUUUUCUGGAAGCAUCAGAACACUUAUUUCCUGCUGAAAAGAGUACGGUUCAAUCCAGUCACUGUAGUCAUGCCACCGAGAAAUUCACUCUACUGUUGAGCUGUUGGCUUUGCCUCCUUAUGUGUUUCACACUGAGUGAUCAGUCGCCACAUAACUGUUGUUCACUGUUGGACAUGUUUGUUCUAGAACACUUGUACAGAAGCCAAAAAUUAACUAUUAGAGAUGUUCUAAUUGUGUGCCAAAGUAGUGUGACUGAUACAUAAUGCCAGUUUGUGGCAGUGUUAAUGCCUUUAAUACUUUCUCACAAGAUUAAAAUAUCUCACUAUUAGUUGGUUUGUGCAGCAUGAGGUGUAAUGAGCAUCAUUUGCCGGUGUCAAUGGCAUGUCAGUCAGGUGUUGUAUAUUUAGGUUUUCAGAUCUGAUUUUGCAUGCAAAAAUGCCCACGUAGGGAUUGUCAUUAUUGGAACUGCCAGACUUCAGGUAGUCUACUAGCAAAAAAGGAUGCAACAGCUCUCAAACUGUGAAGCAGUGAGCGAUUUAAUUUGCACAAAACUGAAGAUGCAUUUUGGUUAGUCUUCAUGCUGCCUUCAUUUCCAUUGAUACUGUUUGUGUAACGAUGUCAUAACCAGUCGCAUCCUGUGCAUUGUAUACGUGUCUCUCGUCACGUAAUAUAAAUGCGCUCUGAAGGCAUUUAGCCAGAAUGCGUCUCUUUUUAAAUUGUUUUACAAGGUUUGAGCGCCGUCCAAUCCUCCCCCCCAACUUGCAUUAAGCUGGGAUUCCAGCACCCGAGCGCCUCUUUAAUUGUGGCAUGGUUGUACCAUUUGAAAUGCAGCACACAACUUUAAAUAUGAAAGCGUCUCACUGUGAAUCUACUUAACUAUGAUGUACUCUGGAGGGUGAGGAUAUGUUCAUAAGUGUGUAACCGAUGUGAUUCAGCAGUUGUUAGUCUAGUUAACGGCUAGCUGCAAUAAGGUAUGUACAUAAGCUGGUGGAAAUCAUUGUCAAAAAUGAGACCCUUUCAUUAGCAGUUUUAGAUGUGCAAUGUAUUUGGUCUUCCAAUCACUGACUGUGGGUAGCUGUAAUGAAAAAUGUUUCAACUAAUCAAAUCGCAUGAAUGUACUCCCUGUUGUACCUCUGUGUGCUUUAGUCAGUGGUGUUAGACUGUAUAGAGAGAAUUUAAAAAUGUUUAUUGUAUGUUUAAUAAAUGGGUUGUUGGUUAUACA